CUUAGCGGCGGACGGGUGAGUAACACGUGGGUAACCUACCCCAAGGAGGGGGAUAACAGGUCGAAAGGCCUGCUAAUACCGCAUAAAGCUUAUGUAUCGCAUGAUGCAUAAGCCAAAGGAGGAAUCCGCCUUGGGAUGGGCCCGCGGCCCAUUAGCUAGUUGGUGAGGUAACGGCUCACCAAGGCGACGAUGGGUAGCCGGCCUGAGAGGGUGGUCGGCCACACUGGGACUGAGACACGGCCCAGACUCCUACGGGAGGCAGCAGUGGGGAAUAUUGCGCAAUGGGGGAAACCCUGACGCAGCGACGCCGCGUGAGCGAAGAAGGCCUUCGGGUUGUAAAGCUCUGUCUUCCCUGACGAAGAAAAUGACGGUAAGGGAGGAGGAAGCCACGGCUAACUACGUGCCAGCAGCCGCGGUAAUACGUAGGUGGCGAGCGUUGUCCGGAAUUACUGGGCGUAAAGGGUGCGUAGGCGGCUCCUUAAGUGAGGUGUGAAAUCCCUGGGCUCAACCCAGGAACUGCACUUCAAACUGGGGAGCUAGAGUGCAGGAGAGGAAAGCGGAAUUCCCGGUGUAGCGGUGAAAUGCGUAGAGAUCGGGAGGAACACCAGUGGCGAAGGCGGCUUUCUGGACUGUAACUGACGCUGAGGCACGAAAGCGUGGGGGAGCAAACAGGAUUAGAUACCCUGGUAGUCCACGCUGUAAACGAUGAGUGCUA
RNAcentral lists this ribosomal RNA (715 nucleotides) under Caloramator sp. Its description in RNAcentral is "bacterial SSU rRNA". It matches the Rfam family "Bacterial small subunit ribosomal RNA", at positions 91 to 818 of the family's 1533-position model. The record is from RNAcentral. Lineage: Bacteria; Bacillati; Bacillota; Clostridia; Eubacteriales; Clostridiaceae.